This is a non-coding RNA of Lepisosteus oculatus (spotted gar), 112 nucleotides long. Lineage: Eukaryota; Metazoa; Chordata; Actinopteri; Semionotiformes; Lepisosteidae. The record is from Rfam.
UAUGGCCAGCCAUAUCACCCUGCAACUCACAACUGGGAACCCACUGCAGGUGUGAGCCUGGUCAGUACCUGGAUGGGAGACCUCCUGGGAAAAACUAAGGCUGCUGCUGGAA